This 255-nucleotide long non-coding RNA is filed under the name Cicer arietinum (chickpea). RNAcentral's name for it is "long non-coding RNA (CARI_LNC000499)". Lineage: Eukaryota; Viridiplantae; Streptophyta; Magnoliopsida; Fabales; Fabaceae. The record is from RNAcentral.
UUCUUGUUGAGCCCUCUCAACCAAGAAAGUAGUCACCAGUUUCAAGCUGGCUUUUCUUGCGUUCUAUUCCUUUCAAAGAUUUAUUACAGAAUGAAUAAAAGAUGUAAAACAAAAGAGUCUUCAAUCUUUAUGAAUGUUGCUCCUCACGAAUCUGGAUAUUCAAGGCUUGUUCAUGAGCACAUUAUCAUUUCUCUUAGAUUGUCAACAAAACGUAUUGAGAUCUGUAAUCACAAUUAUGAAGUUGUUAGUUUGUUG